CCCAGCACUUCUGGGCAAACACUCGUGCGAUAAUCAUCCUCGUCACUGAGAAGGCAUCCGAAUUUCUCCUAAACACAACAGAGAGACACUGGAUUUCUUCUGUAUAUGAGCUGGCCUGAGCUGCAGAAUUACAUGGGCUCCUACAGCUGCGUCAUGGAAAACACUGUUCACCACAUCGUGGAGCGAGCUCGCCAGUGAUGGGAACAGCAUCAUGGAGACAUGGAGAGGCAAGCUGGUGUCUCAGAAACGUCACGCUGGCUGCCGGCAGGACGGCUCCAGGCUCUGCUGGCAAUCAGAUGGCAGAAGAGCGGCUGAGAUGAAGCACUUCCCUCCUCAGCUUCAGGGAAGAAUAAUUAUGGGGGCAGGAAACCAGGUUUUGGGGAUGAGUCUCCUAUAAAUAAAACUAAACCUGGUCUAGGGGUCAGUAAAACACCUUUGCAGCUGCUCAAGUCUCCUCAGAUUUGCACUUGUUCAAACCAAAACUGGAAUAUGGACAGGAACUGUUUCCUCCUGGAAACUUGCCGCUGGUUCUGCCUGAUGUGUCCCUUGACCUGCUGCUUCCCAUAAUCUCAAACCUGAUAUGGAUCUUGUUGUGGAAUGGAUGUGGCUGACAUUUAGCAGGAAUGCUAGUUGUCGUCAGAGCAGUGCCUGGGGAGAUGCAGUCCGCGCUCAACCAUGCAGCUGACGCAACCUGCUGUUUUGCAAGCUCAGUCACCACCUCACUUCAUCAAAGAAAUGCUCUUGGCUAAUACUUGGUGAUGCUUCCCAGAAAUGGCAUGGGCAGGAAAGAUGUUUGCUUGGCAUAAGCUGGCCUCAGUACAACCUCUCCAGCAUUGUCUGAGUGGAAGAAACCAACUUGGAUGAGUUUGGAGCUAAGCUGGGUUUAGCCAGGCCACAAAGUCCAAGAGCUUUGAGUGAACGGUGUGAGGAGGCUCAGCCUCCCCUCCUGACAGCCCCACUUGCAGAAACCUCUCCAGGUAAAAGCUAUGCUCCAUUUCUUGUGAUGCUGCAGAAUCAGAAAUAUCCCAGCUGCAGGAGGCAUACUUCCAGGAUCCCCUUUGUGCAAAGGUGUCGAGACAAUUUACAGUCCCAAGCCUAUUUGGGGCUACCACCUUUAGUGCAUUAAUUUUACAUGCAAGCAAAGUGAUUCGUUUCUCAUAUCUCCCUCGACCGCAGACAGACUUGUUGGCAGAUCUGGGAAGAGGAGCCUGUGCCCCCCCCCAUCUGCAUCUGGUUGCAUUUGAAAUUUCAAGCGAGCGCCAGAGCUUUCGCUCAGCUUGAUUGUGCUUUUUUUUUCCCAGCCACUUCUUCAAGGAACAUAAAGAGAACUCAAAUGCAUCUUUCUAACCAAAGUGAAGUUCAGGAUUUGCUAAGAACAAAGCAUUUGGUUUGCCCCAGAUACAAAUGGCCAUUUACUCAAGGGGAGUACCCCAAGAGGCUUCAACUCCCUGGCCCCAACCGCUCUGUCCCAGGCUCUUUUGGGUUGACUUACUACAGUCCUUUGGCACAAGCAGCGGAACGUCCAGCUCUCUGGGGAACAGCCGGCAAGGCUGUGCCAGUACCAGGCAGACACGGCAGACCCUCCGGCGCCA
Molecule: long non-coding RNA, 1592 nt
Organism: Grus americana (Whooping crane)
Lineage: Eukaryota; Metazoa; Chordata; Aves; Gruiformes; Gruidae
Exons: 3
Source: RefSeq, a predicted model, not a curated record